This 101-nucleotide small nuclear RNA is filed under the name Canis lupus familiaris (dog). Lineage: Eukaryota; Metazoa; Chordata; Mammalia; Carnivora; Canidae. The record is from RNAcentral.
UUGCUUCAGCAGCACAUAUACAAAAUUGGAAUGAUACAAAAAAAAUUAGCAUGGUCCCUGUGCAAAACAACACGCAAAUUUGUGAAGGGUUCCAUGUUUUU